AUAAAGAAGGGAUUUUUGGAAAUGAUGAAGGGUAAGCAAGGAAACAAGAAGAAGACAAAGGUUGCUUGCGCAAAUCUAGCUAAUCUGGGGGCUUCUGGGGCAAGUAAAGUGAACAGCUUUGGCGCUGAACUUGAACCUGUAAACUGAGCUGUGUGGUUAAGCCAAAAGCCAUCCCCUCCCCCUCCCAUCCCUUCCCCUCUCCUCCAACUUCCACUCCAAAACCGUACUAAUAAGCACCAUCCAUCCCCUUUCAUUGCCCACAUUUUCACUUGGUCUCAUUAUGUUUUUGAGUGUACAUACAUUUACAAGCAACCCAAACAAACCCAGUUUCAACUUCUUUUCCUUCUUCUUCUUCUUCUUCUUCUUCUUCUUUAUUCAAAAUGUUAUCUUUCUUUUGAUUCACUCUUUGAAUAUCUCAACUUUUUCUUGUUAAGAUAGGACAAGAAAACCUCAUCCUAAGGAAAGCUUUGCCAAAGGGAAAGAAAAAUAACAAUCAAAACGCUUGUGGUGGUGUGAAAGCUUUCUUCAAGAGUGGUUCAGUAUGGUGACUGCAGUGAAAAUUGAAGCAAGAUUGAGCUUUCCCAUGACAAUUUAUGUGAAGCAAAUGGGUUUUGGAUGCUCAUAUGAAGAAGCAUGGAGCAAUAAUAGAAGGGAUAUUAUAAGUUUCCUCAAAGUCCAAUCUUUGCAAGCUCUCUUCUUUUUCUUCAUCUUCAGCUUCUGGUGAUGGAAGAUGGUGGAUGAGAUGGCAGCGGAAGCGGCGGCGGCGGUGGUGAUAUUGGCGGGAUCGGCUCAAUCUCUUAUAUUGUUCAUUUAUGAUACACUAAAAAAAAUUUUGUUGCCUUUUUUGCUGCUUAGUGCCUACAUUGUUGGUCCAUAAUGUUGGGUUAAAAGCAAUGGGUAUGUUGCUCUCUUUGCUCAUCUUUUCCCCUUUUUCUUUAAAUUUUAGUAACACUAACUUCCUCUUUCAGCUUUA
Gossypium raimondii (Peruvian cotton) is the source of this 973-nucleotide long non-coding RNA. RefSeq lists it as uncharacterized. The transcript is spliced from 2 exons. Lineage: Eukaryota; Viridiplantae; Streptophyta; Magnoliopsida; Malvales; Malvaceae. The record is from RefSeq and is a predicted model, not a curated record.